GAUUCAUAAUAACUUAACGAAUCGCAUGGCCAUGCGCCGGCGAUGGUUCAUUCAAAUUUCUGCCCUAUCAACUUUCGAUGGUAGGAUAGUGGCCUACCAUGGUUUCUACGGGUAACGGGGAAUUAGGGUUCUAUUCCGGAGAGGGAGCCUGAGAAACGGCUACCACAUCCAAGGAAGGCAGCAGGCGCGCAAAUUACCCAAUCCCGACACGGGGAGGUAGUGACAAUAAAUACUGAUGGAGAGCUCUUUUGGGUUUUCUAGUUGGAAUGAGUACAAUUUAAAUUUCUUAACGAGGAACAAUUGGAGGGCAAGUCUGGUGCCAGCAGCCGCGGUAAUUCCAGCUCCAAUAGCGUAUAUUAAAGUUGUUGCAGUUAAAAAGCUCGUAGUUGAAACUCAGGCCUGGCUGGCCGGUCCGCCUCACCGCGAGCACUGGUUCGGCCGGGCUUUUUCCUUCUGGGGAGCCGCAUGCCCUUCACUGGGUGCGUUGGGGAACCAGGACUUUUACUUUGAAAAAAUUAGAGUGUUCAAAGCAGGCAUAUGCUCGGAUACAUUAGCAUGGAAUAAUAGAAUAGGACGUGUGGUUCUAUUUUGUUGGUUUCUAGGACCGCCGUAAUGAUUAAUAGGGAUAGUCGGGGGCAUCAGUAUUCAAUUGUCAGAGGUGAAAUUCUUGGAUUUAUUGAAGACUAACUACUGCGAAAGCAUUUGCCAAGGAUGUUUUCAUUAAUCAGUGAAC
Molecule: ribosomal RNA, 733 nt
Filed under: Peltigera elixii
Lineage: Eukaryota; Fungi; Ascomycota; Lecanoromycetes; Peltigerales; Peltigeraceae
Description: SSU rRNA
Rfam family: Eukaryotic small subunit ribosomal RNA
Source: RNAcentral